Molecule: ribosomal RNA, 420 nt
Filed under: uncultured bacterium
Lineage: Bacteria
Description: bacterial SSU rRNA
Rfam family: Bacterial small subunit ribosomal RNA
Source: RNAcentral
GAGGAAUAUUGGUCAAUGGGCGAGAGCCUGAACCAGCCAAGUCGCGUGAAGGAAGAAGGUUCUAUGGAUUGUAAACUUCUUUUGUAAGGGAAUAAAAAGAGUUACGUGUAACUUAUUGUAUGUACUUUACGAAUAAGGAUCGGCUAACUCCGUGCCAGCAGCCGCGGUAAUACGGAGGAUCCAAGCGUUAUCCGGAUUUAUUGGGUUUAAAGGGUGCGUAGGCGGUUUGAUAAGUCAGUGGUGAAAGUUUGCAGCUCAACUGUAAAAUUGCCAUUGAAACUGUCGAACUUGAGUGCAAAUGAGGUAGGCGGAAUGUGUUGUGUAGCGGUGAAAUGCUUAGAUAUAACACAGAACACCAAUUGCGAAGGCAGCUUACUGGGAUGCAACUGACGCUGAGGCACGAAAGCGUGGGGAUCAAAC